RNAcentral lists this transfer RNA (75 nucleotides) under bacterium ADurb.Bin374. RNAcentral's name for it is "tRNA-Pro". It matches the Rfam family "tRNA". From Rfam's summary of the family: Transfer RNA (tRNA) molecules are approximately 80 nucleotides in length. Their secondary structure includes four short double-helical elements and three loops (D, anti-codon, and T loops). The record is from RNAcentral.
CGGGGCGUAGCGCAGUUGGCAGCGUACUUGAAUGGGGUUCAAGUGGUCGCCAGUUCGAGUCUGGCCGCCCCGACC